Molecule: long non-coding RNA, 297 nt
Organism: Drosophila virilis
Lineage: Eukaryota; Metazoa; Arthropoda; Insecta; Diptera; Drosophilidae
Source: RefSeq, a predicted model, not a curated record
ACAAUUUGACCGAUUUACGAGUGUGUUAUACAGGAAGUAUUGCCGGGAAAAGUACUUACCCAUAUAUUUGAUAAUUCAAUAUGACAUAAUAAGGAGAAUUAGGAUAUAAAAAUCCAGUCUACAACCGAUCAAUAAAGACGUAUAACCUCUUGCUUUAAGCAUAUUAAAUAUUCUUAGAAAGAAUAAUAUUUUGGUAAAUUUUUUAACAAAAUUAACUUGUAAUGCUCUUCCCAUCUAGUUUCCCUAUGUUGACCUGCCGCAAAUUAGUAAUACAAUGAGUUUUAUAAAUUUUCCAAA